CAGUCGCCACGGUAAUACGUAGGAGGCGAGCGUUGUCCGGAAUCAUUGGGCGUAAAGGGAGCGCAGGCGGGCAUGUAAGUCUUUCUUAAAAGUUCGGGGCUCAACCCCGUGAUGGGAAAGAAACUACAUGUCUUGAGUACAGGAGAGGAAAGCGGAAUUCCCAGUGUAGCGGUGAAAUGCGUAGAUAUUGGGAGGAACACCAGUGGCGAAGGCGGCUUUCUGGACUGCAACUGACGCUGAGGCUCGAAAGCCAGGGGAGCGAACGGGAUUAGAUACCCGUGUAGUCCCUGUCUCUUAUACA
RNAcentral lists this ribosomal RNA (301 nucleotides) under uncultured bacterium. RNAcentral's name for it is "partial 16S ribosomal RNA". It matches the Rfam family "Bacterial small subunit ribosomal RNA", at positions 509 to 809 of the family's 1533-position model. The record is from RNAcentral.